Molecule: long non-coding RNA, 264 nt
Filed under: Musa acuminata (dwarf banana)
Lineage: Eukaryota; Viridiplantae; Streptophyta; Magnoliopsida; Zingiberales; Musaceae
Description: long non-coding RNA (MACU_LNC002705)
Source: RNAcentral
AAAGAAAAACUUGGAGGAUCAUUUUCCUCUCCAAAUAGAUAUCAAAUUGAAUAUUUCUAAUCAUAAGGAGAAUGCUCCAAUGAACAAUGAAGGUUCCUAAUAAAAUAUGAGAAAGAAACUAAGAAUCAGUCUCGAUAAGUUCGUCGAUGAACUCCCUCUCGUAAAGUCACAUUCAUUUCUCUCUCGGAUAGCAGCAGCUUCCAAAUAGAGCAUACUCCUUAAAAGCUCCAUAUACCUUCUUCCCUCUUAAAAUUAAUCUUUUAC